AGUGAACGCUGGCGGUAGGCCUAACACAUGCAAGUCGAACGGCAGCACAGUAAGAGCUUGCUCUUACGGGUGGCGAGUGGCGGACGGGUGAGGAAUACAUCGGAAUCUACUUUUUCGUGGGGGAUAACGUAGGGAAACUUACGCUAAUACCGCAUACGACCUACGGGUGAAAGCAGGGGAUCUUCGGACCUUGCGCGAUUGAAUGAGCCGAUGUCGGAUUGGCUAGUUGGCGGGGUAAAGGCCCACCAAGGCGACGAUCCGUAGCUGGUCUGUGAGGAUGAUCAGCCACACUGGAACUGAGACACGGUCCAGACUCCUACGGGAGGCAGCAGUGGGGAAUAUUGGACAAUGGGCGCAAGCCUGAUCCAGCCAGACCGCGUGGGUGAAGAAGGCCUUCGGGUUGUAAAGCCCUUUUGUUGGGAAAGAAAAGCAGCAGGUUAAUACCCAGCUGUUCUGACGGUACCCAAAGAAUAAGCACCGGCUAACUUCGUG
Molecule: ribosomal RNA, 492 nt
Filed under: uncultured bacterium
Lineage: Bacteria
Description: partial 16S ribosomal RNA
Rfam family: Bacterial small subunit ribosomal RNA
Source: RNAcentral